Molecule: ribosomal RNA, 417 nt
Filed under: uncultured beta proteobacterium
Lineage: Bacteria; Pseudomonadati; Pseudomonadota; Betaproteobacteria
Description: bacterial SSU rRNA
Rfam family: Bacterial small subunit ribosomal RNA
Source: RNAcentral
GAGUUUGAUCUUGGCUCAGAUUGAACGCUGGCGGCAUGCCUUACACAUGCAAGUCGAACGGCAGCGCGGACUUCGGUCUGGCGGCGAGUGGCGAACGGGUGAGUAAUACAUCGGAACGUACCCUGUUGUGGGGGAUAACUAGUCGAAAGAUUAGCUAAUACCGCAUACGACCUGAGGGUGAAAGCGGGGGACCGCAAGGCCUCGCGCAGCAGGAGCGGCCGAUGUCUGAUUAGCUAGUUGGUGGGGUAAAGGCCCACCAAGGCGACGAUCAGUAGCUGGUCUGAGAGGACGAUCAGCCACACUGGGACUGAGACACGGCCCAGACUCCUACGGGAGGCAGCAGUGGGGAAUUUUGGACAAUGGGGGCAACCCUGAUCCAGCAAUGCCGCGUGUGUGAAGAAGGCCUUCGGUUGUAAG